This 253-nucleotide ribosomal RNA is filed under the name uncultured bacterium. RNAcentral describes it as "partial 16S ribosomal RNA". It matches the Rfam family "Bacterial small subunit ribosomal RNA", at positions 524 to 776 of the family's 1533-position model. The record is from RNAcentral.
UACGUAGGGUGCGAGCGUUAAUCGGAAUUACUGGGCGUAAAGCGUGCGCAGGCGGCGCGUUAAGACAGGUGUGAAAGCCCCGAGCUUAACUUGGGAAUUGCGCUUGUGACUGGCGUGCUGGAGUGUGGCAGAGGGAGGUGGAGUUCCACGUGUAGCAGUGAAAUGCGUAGAGAUGUGGAGGAACACCGAUGGCGAAGGCAGCCUCCUGGGCCAGCACUGACGCUCAUGCACGAAAGCGUGGGGAGCAAACAGG